RNAcentral lists this ribosomal RNA (465 nucleotides) under uncultured Klebsiella sp. RNAcentral's name for it is "bacterial SSU rRNA". It matches the Rfam family "Bacterial small subunit ribosomal RNA", at positions 338 to 795 of the family's 1533-position model. The record is from RNAcentral. Lineage: Bacteria; Pseudomonadati; Pseudomonadota; Gammaproteobacteria; Enterobacterales; Enterobacteriaceae.
CCUACGGGGGGCAGCAGUGGGGAAUAUUGCACAAUGGGCGCAAGCCUGAUGCAGCCAUGCCGCGUGUGUGAAGAAGGCCUUCGGGUUGUAAAGCACUUUCAGCGGGGAGGAAGGCGUUAAGGUUAAUAACCUUGUCGAUUGACGUUACCCGCAGAAGAAGCACCGGCUAACUCCGUGCCAGCAGCCGCGGUAAUACGGAGGGUGCAAGCGUUAAUCGGAAUUACUGGGCGUAAAGCGCACGCAGGCGGUCUGUCAAGUCGGAUGUGAAACCCCCGGGCUCAACCUGGGAACUGCAUUCGAAACUGGCAGGCUAGAGUCUUGUAGAGGGGGGUAGAAUUCCAGGUGUAGCGGUGAAAUGCGUAGAGAUCUGGAGGAAUACCGGUGGCGAAGGCGGCCCCCUGGACAAAGACUGACGCUCAGGUGCGAAAGCGUGGGGAGCAAACAGGAUUAGAUACCCGAGUAGUC